AUGCACGCUGGCGGCGUGCCUAAUCCCUGCAAGUCGAGCGCACAGACGAGGAGCUUGCUCCUCUGACGUUAUCGGCGGACGGGUGAGUAACACGUGGAUAACCUACCUAUAAUACUGGGAUAACUUCGGGAAACCGGAGCUAAUACCGGAUAACAUGUUUAACCGCAUGGUUCAACAGUUAAAUACGGUCUUUCUUUCACUUAUAUAUGGUUCAGCUCCGCAUUAGCUAGUUGGUAAGGUAACGGCUUACCAAGGCAACGAUGCGUAGCCGACCUGAGAGGGUGAACGGACAGACUGGAAGUGAGACACGGACCAGAGUACUAAGGGAGGCAGCAGAAGGGAAUCUUACGCAAUGGGCGAAAGCAUGACGGAGCAACGCAGCGUGAGAGAAGAAGGUCUUCGGAUCGUAAAACUCUGUUAGUAGGGAAGAAAAAAAGUGUAAGUAACAAUGCACGUCUUGACGGUACCAAAUCAGAAAGCAACGGCUAACUACGUG
RNAcentral lists this ribosomal RNA (496 nucleotides) under uncultured bacterium. RNAcentral describes it as "partial 16S ribosomal RNA". It matches the Rfam family "Bacterial small subunit ribosomal RNA", at positions 29 to 507 of the family's 1533-position model. The record is from RNAcentral.